This 116-nucleotide non-coding RNA is filed under the name Neomoorella thermoacetica. RNAcentral's name for it is "Moorella thermoacetica FMN sequence". It matches the Rfam family "FMN riboswitch aptamer (RFN element)". From Rfam's summary of the family: The RFN element is a highly conserved domain that is found frequently in the 5'-untranslated regions of prokaryotic mRNAs that encode for flavin mononucleotide (FMN) biosynthesis and transport proteins. The record is from RNAcentral. RNAcentral also lists the same sequence under 1 other name. Lineage: Bacteria; Bacillati; Bacillota; Clostridia; Neomoorellales; Neomoorellaceae.
AACGUCCUUCGGGGUUAGGUGUAAUUCCUUACCGGCGGUAAAGCCCGCGAGCCGUUAUGGCAGACCCGGUGAAAUUCCGGGGCCGACAGUAAAAGUCUGGAAGGGAGAAGGAGGUU